RNAcentral lists this unclassified non-coding RNA (147 nucleotides) under soil metagenome. Its description in RNAcentral is "partial internal transcribed spacer 1". The record is from RNAcentral.
CCGAGUUUACAACUCCCAAACCCCUGUGAACAUACCACUUGUUGCCUCGGCGGAUCAGCCCGCUCCCGGUAAAACGGGACGGCCCGCCAGAGGACCCCUAAACUCUGUUUCUAUAUGUAACUUUUGAGUAAAACCAUAAAUAAAUCA